RNAcentral lists this ribosomal RNA (978 nucleotides) under Bacillus velezensis. Its description in RNAcentral is "bacterial SSU rRNA". It matches the Rfam family "Bacterial small subunit ribosomal RNA", at positions 38 to 1004 of the family's 1533-position model. The record is from RNAcentral. Lineage: Bacteria; Bacillati; Bacillota; Bacilli; Caryophanales; Bacillaceae.
GGCAGGCGCUGCUAUAAUGCAGUCGAGCGGACAGAUGGGAGCUUGCUCCCUGAUGUUAGCGGCGGACGGGUGAGUAACACGUGGGUAACCUGCCUGUAAGACUGGGAUAACUCCGGGAAACCGGGGCUAAUACCGGAUGGUUGUUUGAACCGCAUGGUUCAGACAUAAAAGGUGGCUUCGGCUACCACUUACAGAUGGACCCGCGGCGCAUUAGCUAGUUGGUGAGGUAACGGCUCACCAAGGCAACGAUGCGUAGCCGACCUGAGAGGGUGAUCGGCCACACUGGGACUGAGACACGGCCCAGACUCCUACGGGAGGCAGCAGUAGGGAAUCUUCCGCAAUGGACGAAAGUCUGACGGAGCAACGCCGCGUGAGUGAUGAAGGUUUUCGGAUCGUAAAGCUCUGUUGUUAGGGAAGAACAAGUGCCGUUCAAAUAGGGCGGCACCUUGACGGUACCUAACCAGAAAGCCACGGCUAACUACGUGCCAGCAGCCGCGGUAAUACGUAGGUGGCAAGCGUUGUCCGGAAUUAUUGGGCGUAAAGGGCUCGCAGGCGGUUUCUUAAGUCUGAUGUGAAAGCCCCCGGCUCAACCGGGGAGGGUCAUUGGAAACUGGGGAACUUGAGUGCAGAAGAGGAGAGUGGAAUUCCACGUGUAGCGGUGAAAUGCGUAGAGAUGUGGAGGAACACCAGUGGCGAAGGCGACUCUCUGGUCUGUAACUGACGCUGAGGAGCGAAAGCGUGGGGAGCGAACAGGAUUAGAUACCCUGGUAGUCCACGCCGUAAACGAUGAGUGCUAAGUGUUAGGGGUUUCCGCCCCUUAGUGCUGCAGCUAACGCAUUAAGCACUCCGCCUGGGGAGUACGGUCGCAAGACUGAAACUCAAGGAAUUGACGGGGGCCCGCACAGCGGUGGAGCAUGUGUUUAAUUCGGAGCACGCGAAGAACCUUACCAGGUCUUGACAUCCUCUGACAAUCCUAGA